GAGGCAUCGUCCUGCGGCAAUAGGAAUCUCAUCUUGCGACGUCGCCUCUCGUCCUCCCGAGUCUCCUGUCUCGUGCCUGAUCCGCCUCCUGGAGCUCCACCUCGCUCUGGGCUCCACCUGGCUCCCGAAGCUCCACCUCGCACUGGGCUCCCUGCCAGGUAAUAAUGUCCUCUGCUCCCUUUCUUCCCCUCCAGCACAAUACUAUCGCCGCAUAGCACCCUCAGGAUUCCUCCACCAGCUACCGUCCUGUAGCCUCUCGAAUCU
RNAcentral lists this long non-coding RNA (264 nucleotides) under Elaeis guineensis (African oil palm). RNAcentral describes it as "long non-coding RNA (EGUI_LNC000877)". The record is from RNAcentral. Lineage: Eukaryota; Viridiplantae; Streptophyta; Magnoliopsida; Arecales; Arecaceae.